Molecule: ribosomal RNA, 253 nt
Filed under: uncultured bacterium
Lineage: Bacteria
Description: partial 16S ribosomal RNA
Rfam family: Bacterial small subunit ribosomal RNA
Source: RNAcentral
UACGUAGGUGGCAAGCGUUGUCCGGAUUUACUGGGUGUAAAGGGCGUGCAGCCGGGCUGACAAGUCAGAUGUGAAAUCCCGCGGCUCAACCGCGGAACUGCAUUUGAAACUGUCAGUCUUGAGUACCGGAGAGGUCAUCGGAAUUCCUUGUGUAGCGGUGAAAUGCGUAGAUAUAAGGAAGAACACCAGUGGCGAAGGCGGAUUACUGGACGAUAACUGACGCUGAGGCGCGAAAGCGUGGGGAGCAAACAGG